UAUUUUUCCUUAUUUUUUCCUUCCAAUCCCUCUCCUCUCCGAAGCCAGGCUAAACUUUUCAACAUUGCUCAUCCACCGGAAGAAGAAACACAGAGGAAAAUCAUCUGUAAGACCCUUGCUAAAGACCUUCCUUGGAAAAUGAAUCUGAGAUACUUCAAGGACCGGUUGCUUUACUCGAUCAUACCUCUCGGGGGAGACUCAGCUAAUGUUGAGCAUUUUUGUCAGGAGUCGAAAACUUUUUUAGUCCAAGUCCAACAUUAGACUAGAGAAAUUUAAGGCUCUAAAUAGAAUGUGCAGUGACCUAUGAGCAGCAAGGAGCGACAGUUUACUGUACAUGGAUUGUGAUAUGUGUUUCAGUGAACUCAGCUAAUGUUGCAGUUGUUGUUGCAUUCUUUGUUCUACUAUUAUUGGUUGGAUCCAUGGGGCUAUAGAUUUAUUACAUGUGACACUAAACAAGAGGAAAAAUAAUUUUGUUGGCAUACUUAUCAUCUGAAUUGUGCCCUUUGGGGAGAUGAAGCAACUGAAGGAAUUUAAAGUCGAGUCCAUUUUUUCAGCAAUCAAAAAUGGAUGCUACCGAGUCAUUUCUUCGUCCCAGUUGGUUUCGUGGUCUCUAGGAUCAAGUGAUAAUAGACAUGGAGGCCCGUUAAUGAACAUGAGUUUCUCCUAGAUUCAGCAGUUUACUAACUACUGAGCAUACAACUCUAACCACCUCCAAUUUACACGGAACCAAAACUCAAGCAAUGAUAUGAGAAUUACCAACGAAUUGCGUAGAAGAAUUGAUAUACAACAUUAUUAAUGGAAGAGCUCAAGAAUUUUUCAUCAAAAAUUAGUAAUCCUAAAUAUUUUUCAUCAAAAAUAAUAAUCUUUGACAUACAGGUGAAGAAUAUGGAAGAGCUCAAGAAUUUGUACAACAUUGUUUGGGCUUUCACAGAUAAGAAGCUUAAAGUGGGAAAUGAUUUGUGACAUUUUGGUAAUGGGACCAUGGAUGUCGAGAAGAUGUGAUAACAGAGAUUCCUUGAAUGAUGUUAAAAGGUAUGAGAAAGUUGGCGAUGAAAUGAAAAUGCUGGAUUUGAUGAAUCCUAAUGGGUUCUUUGUGGAAGAUGGCGGGAUUUGGGUGAGACGUGUAGUGGUUGUUCUAAAAGACUUAAGUUACCCACUUUCCUCAAGUUUGCCUUAUGCAUUGCAUUGUUGAACACUUGCAUGAAAAGCGUAUUAUUUUGUCAGUGUAAAUAUGGAAUGCUGCAUUAUGUAUGCUGAAACAUGCAUGAGUUUUUGUACCUUAAACAACUAACGAACUGUGGAAUGAACCAAUACAAUAAGUCAUGGCAUGAACUAAAUUGCCGUGUACAUCACAGAGUUACAUUGCAAUGUGGAUAGUCGAAUCUACCGUUGAACAAUAAUCUGAAAAUUGGAACUACAUUACGUUAGAUGCAUAAUUAGUUACUAGGUCUUCUGUAUACUGAUUUUCGCUAUUUCCGUCCAUUUUCAGGUUGUUAAAUGGUUUUUUGUUUCCCAUUAGCUUAAUUUAUGGGUUUGCCUGAAUAAAUCCCAUUAGCUCAAACAUGUGAGGUGUUACCAAGUAUGAUAUUUUUGAAUGAGUAGAUAGUUGAAGUCAUCAGAGUCCAAUACUUCAAAAACAGUCUAAAGAGUUCCUUACGAACUUUAAAAGUUGAGAUCCAAUGGGAGUAAGUUAAGAGGCGCACAUUGCAGCCGAGAAAUGCAUCUGAAGUUUACCUAGGUAAAUACUAUUGAAGAAGCUUCAAGUUAAGAGGAUGGCAUCAUAUUUGGGGUUUAGUAAAAUAUAUGACUCAGGAAAGAUGUAGGCACAUUAACAAACAUGGGUUAAAAGGUUUUCAAGCUCAUGACCGAGUGGCUUCUGAUUGUCAACGAAACCUUUUACUCUUGGAAGAAUAAAAUCAAGGUUCAGUUUGGCUUUAACUAUCUUGAAAAUUGAUCAUCUAUAUGUGGCUAGCAACUAUUGGUCUGGGAAGCAAGAGAGAUAUUCAACUUGAUGUUUUUAAGAGGUGGGAUGCCAUGCAGAUUUCAUUGCUGUUCACUUUCCACAGUAACUCCUUUUAGACAAUCCUCAAGUAUAUAGAUCAUUCAACAUAUAGAGUAUGUCCUAAAUUUUUAAAAACUAACAAACAACUAAUAUGCAAAGAAAAAGAAAAAGGUAGACAAUUUUCUUUUCCAAGUUCAACAAACAAGGUACUCUAUAUGAUGGACAUUUUUAUUUUUGAGGGCAGUUUUUUCUCCUAUUAGAUUUGGCUUUCAGAGAACAAUACAGGUUGCACGUGAUUAGAACACGCAUGUCUUACCCAUUGAGUGAAAAAUGUUUCAUUGCGAAUAUUGUGGUAUUCGAGUUGAGGUUGAUAUGUCUUGCUUCCGGACCAUCUUCCCUCUUUUUCUACAACAAAACCAUGUCAACAAAAUUAAUAAUGGUUAAAUUCGUCUUCUUUAUCACAUUGUCGUGUAUGCAGGUUCCAUAUUUUAAAAGCAAGUAUAGAUCGUUUUUAUGCAUGGCUGCCCACACCAAACUUUUUGCUGAGCUCAGCCAGCCUAUAUCUUGGUGUUAAUAUCCUAGAAGUAGAAGCUACUGGAGCAACAGGUCUAUCGAACUAUCCUUUUUUACAAGUGCUAUGGUAAAAGCCUUAUCAGUCUCAAUUCAAUCGUGGCCCAAACAAUAUGAGCUGAUGGAUAUCGAUGACUCGGUGAUAGUAGUAAUCGAUGAAGAUACACAAACCGCGGAUAAUGAUGGAAAUCAAAUUGUUACUCUAGCCAUUUGUAAGUCACUACCUUCGCGCAAUGGAUAUUACAUAUGUUCAUAUUGUGGAGCACUGGAUUGGAUUGAUGGAAGACUGGCUAAUUCAC
This is a long non-coding RNA of Papaver somniferum (opium poppy), 2871 nucleotides long. RefSeq lists it as uncharacterized. The transcript is spliced from 10 exons. Lineage: Eukaryota; Viridiplantae; Streptophyta; Magnoliopsida; Ranunculales; Papaveraceae. The record is from RefSeq and is a predicted model, not a curated record.